UUCGUUGGGUAAGAGCCAUAUAUAAGGCAGUUGAAACGCCGUUGACUGGUUCAUUUUUAAGCAAAUUCUUAACGAAAAUGUUGCGGGCCCAAGGUUUUUGUUUUGGUUUUUUAGUUUUAAUUUUCUCUGUGAUGGCAAGACCUAGAGUUAAUAAACAACUUAAGUUUAAUUAUCCUGGAACACCGACAACAGAACAAUCUAUAGAGCAUUUUGUUGAGACAAGUAGCACCGAAAGUGAAGUGUUAACGGAAACAACAAGUGAAGAAACUUUGGAAGAAUCUUCUUCCGAACUUUAUUCAGAAGAUACAACUGAGGAAUACAGCACAGAGUCAUCUACUGGGGAAUACUACACUGACUCCAGUACAGAUUUUUCGAAAUCAACUGACAGCACCGACUCCAGUACAAGUUUUUCGGAAUCAACUGAGAUAACUACAGAUUCGAGUGAUGAAUCCGAUGAAAGCCAAAGUGAUGAAGAUUCAUCGGAUUACAGUGAUAUUUCCAAAGACAGUAGUGGAAUCAUUUGGCCAGACUCUAGUCAGGAAUCUUUCGAAAGCUGGGAGCCAGAAGACUCAGAUGGGGAUUUUUCCGGAGGAGAUUUUAGCGCUGGAAAGUCUGGGGAAAUAUUUGAUUAUAGCUGAAAAAUUUAAACAAAUAACAUCACAUACCUUAAUUUUUCUGUCAAUUUAUAAACCGAGUCUGUAACACUCAAAUUCAAAUUAAAACUAGUAGAAAUGGAAACUUUUCUCUUCACGUUGUUCUUCCUGUCGUUGAAGUCUUUGGUCUCGGGAAUACCCAUACCGAUGUAUGAUCUUUAUUAUUCAACGGACACCCAGGUGGACUUUGUUGAUUAUGAUCCCUAUAUUAUUACAUAAAAUAGUAAUACUUCUGCCGCUCAGUAAUGCUGCUGCUCUAACUUUGGAAGAACUUGGCUACUG
Long non-coding RNA from Drosophila bipectinata, 935 nucleotides. RefSeq lists it as uncharacterized. The record is from RefSeq and is a predicted model, not a curated record. NCBI's taxonomy places the organism in Eukaryota, Metazoa, Arthropoda, Insecta, Diptera, Drosophilidae.